Molecule: ribosomal RNA, 247 nt
Filed under: uncultured bacterium
Lineage: Bacteria
Description: partial 16S ribosomal RNA
Rfam family: Bacterial small subunit ribosomal RNA
Source: RNAcentral
AGUAACGCGUAAGGAACCUGCCUUUUAGAGGGGAAUAACAAUGAGAAAUCAUUGCUAAUACCGCAUAUGCCAUAGUUAUCACAUGAUAACAGUGGGAAAGGAGCAAUUCGCUAAAAGAUGGCCUUGCGUCUGAUUAGAUAGUUGGUAAGGUAACGGCUUACCAAGUCGACGAUCAGUAGCCGGACUGAGAGGUUGAACGGCCACAUUGGGACUGAGAUACGGCCCAGACUCCUACGGGAGGCAGCAG